This 681-nucleotide ribosomal RNA is filed under the name uncultured bacterium. RNAcentral describes it as "bacterial SSU rRNA". It matches the Rfam family "Bacterial small subunit ribosomal RNA", at positions 60 to 782 of the family's 1533-position model. The record is from RNAcentral.
AGUCGUACGAGAGUUUUUAACUCAAGUGGCGGACGGGUGAGUAACACGUAAGAAUUUGCCUUUAGGAGGGGGAUAACAGCUGGAAACGGCUGCUAAUACCCCAUAUGCUUUCGAGUGAAACGGAUUUUUCCGCCUAGAGAGAAGCUUGCGGCUGAUUAGCUUGUUGGUGAGGUAAUGGCUCACCAAGGCGACGAUCAGUAUCUGGUUUGAGAGGACGAUCAGACACACUGGAACUGAGACACGGUCCAGACUCCUACGGGAGGCAGCAGUGGGGAAUUUUCCGCAAUGGGCGAAAGCCUGACGGAGCAAUACCGCGUGAGGGAUGACUGCCUAUGGGUUGUAAACCUCUUUUUUCAGGGAGGAAUCAAUGACGUUACCUGAAGAAUAAGCAUCGGCUAACUCCGUGCCAGCAGCCGCGGUAAGACGGAGGAUGCAAGUGUUAUCCGGAAUCACUGGGCGUAAAGCGUCUGUAGGUGGUUUGGUAAGUCAACUGUUAAAUCUUGAGGCUCAACCUCAAAAUCGCAGUCGAAACUACCAGACUUGAGUAUAGUAGGGGUAAAGGGAAUUUCCAGUGGAGCGGUGAAAUGCGUAGAGAUUGGAAAGAACACCGAUGGCGAAGGCACUUUACUGGGCUAUUACUAACACUCAGAGACGAAAGCUAGGGUAGCAAAUGGGAUUAGA